RNAcentral lists this transfer RNA (85 nucleotides) under bacterium. RNAcentral's name for it is "tRNA-Tyr". It matches the Rfam family "tRNA". Rfam says of the family: Transfer RNA (tRNA) molecules are approximately 80 nucleotides in length. The record is from RNAcentral. RNAcentral also lists the same sequence under 4 other names.
GGGGAGAUACCCUAGUGGUCAAAGGGAGCAGACUGUAAAUCUGCCGGCGAAGCCUUCGGAGGUUCAAAUCCUUCUCUCCCCACCA